This 249-nucleotide unclassified non-coding RNA is filed under the name Hevea brasiliensis (rubber tree). Lineage: Eukaryota; Viridiplantae; Streptophyta; Magnoliopsida; Malpighiales; Euphorbiaceae. The record is from RNAcentral.
UGAUCCCCAGGCAGGUCCCUAAAAUGGCAUCAAGAUCAUAAACACAUUUUAGAUUAAGAAAAACAGUAUGAAAGGACUAUGAUGUGCUCGUGACAGUGCUACCAUUGGGUAAAUAAUGCGUUUACCAAGAAGCUAUCAAUUAUCACCUCUUCUGUGCUAAGGAACUGAAAAUAAGCGGGACUUCCCCCCCUUCUUUAUAUAUUUUCCCCCUCUUUUAGUCAAUUUCUCUGGACAAAUUAGAAGUCAUUU